RNAcentral lists this ribosomal RNA (418 nucleotides) under uncultured eukaryote. RNAcentral describes it as "SSU rRNA". It matches the Rfam family "Eukaryotic small subunit ribosomal RNA", at positions 592 to 1011 of the family's 1831-position model. The record is from RNAcentral.
CAAUAGCGUAUAUUAAAGUUGUUGCGGUUAAAAAGCUCGUAGUUGGAUUUCUGCCGAGGACGACCGGUCCGCCCUCUGGGUGAGUAUCUGGCUUGGCCUGGGCAUCUUCUUGGAGAACGUAUCUGCACUUGACUGUGUGGUGCGGUAUCCAGGAUUUUACUUUGAGGAAAUUAGAAUGUUUCAAGCAGGCAUACGCCUUGAAUACAUUAGCAUGGAAUAAUAAGAUAGGACCUCGGUUCUAUUUUGUUAGCUUCUAGAGCUGAGGUAAUGAUUAAUAGGGAUAGUUGGGGCGAUUCGUAUUUAACUGUCAGAGGGUGAAAUUCUUGGGAUUUUGUUAAAUGACGGACUACUGCGAAAGCAUUUGCCAAGGAUGCUUUCAUUGAUCAAGAACGAAAGUUAGGGGAUCGAAGAUGAUUAG